AAGGGCUUAGCUUAAUUAAAGUAACUGAUUUGCGUUCAGUUGAUGCGGAAUGAAAUUCUGUAGUCCUUA
This 69-nucleotide transfer RNA is filed under the name Trachypithecus hatinhensis (Hatinh langur). RNAcentral describes it as "tRNA-Ala". It matches the Rfam family "tRNA". From Rfam's summary of the family: Transfer RNA (tRNA) molecules are approximately 80 nucleotides in length. Their secondary structure includes four short double-helical elements and three loops (D, anti-codon, and T loops). The record is from RNAcentral. Lineage: Eukaryota; Metazoa; Chordata; Mammalia; Primates; Cercopithecidae.